RNAcentral lists this ribosomal RNA (496 nucleotides) under uncultured bacterium. RNAcentral describes it as "partial 16S ribosomal RNA". It matches the Rfam family "Bacterial small subunit ribosomal RNA", at positions 29 to 507 of the family's 1533-position model. The record is from RNAcentral.
AUGCACGCUGGCGGCGUGCCUAAUACCUGCAAGUCGAGCGCACAGACGAGGAGCUUGCUCCUCUGACGUUAGCGGCGGACGGGUGAGUAACACGUGGAUAACCUACCUAUAAGACUGGGAUAACUUCGGGAAACCGGAGCUAAUACCGGAUAAUAUAUUGAACCGCAUGGUUCAAUAGUGAAAGACGGUUUUGCUGUCACUUAUAGAUGGAUCCGCGCCGCAUUAGCUAGUUGGUAAGGUAACGGCUUACCAAGGCAACGAUGCGUAGCCGACCUGAGAGGGUGAUCGGCCACACUGGAACUGAGACACGGUCCAGACUCCUACGGGAGGCAGCAGUAGGGAAUUUUCCGCAAUGGGCGAAAGCUUGACGGAGCAACGCCGCGUGAGUGAUGAAGGUCUUCGGAUCGUAAAACUCUGUUAUUAGGGAAGAACAAAUGUGUAAGUAACUAUGCACGUCUUGACGGUACCUAAUCAGAAAGCCACGGCUAACUACGUG